This 4093-nucleotide unclassified non-coding RNA is filed under the name Megachile rotundata (alfalfa leafcutting bee). Its description in RNAcentral is "tubulin-specific chaperone cofactor E-like protein, transcript variant X9". The record is from RNAcentral. Lineage: Eukaryota; Metazoa; Arthropoda; Insecta; Hymenoptera; Megachilidae.
GGAUGAAACGAGACACAAAGGAACAAGGGAGAAUCGCGUGGGUGAAGCUCGUUCGACUGUAGUAUGGUUUUCCAACGUCGAGGGAACCGGUACCGGUUUUUCGUGGCGCAAAAGAAAAAAGGAAAGAAAAAACAAUACCGCGACCUUAACGGAUAUGGUCAGACCAGAUAUUCCGCGUGUUCGACGUUGUCCUCGAGCAUCUACGAUCCGCGUGUUUCUUCUUUGCUUCUGUUGCCUCUUUCUUCCUUCUCGUUGUGUUCUCUUUGCCGGCGACAAAAGCCACCUUGUGUUAUGUCUCCUCUUUGUUUCUUGUCGAAUCUUUGUUAGCCGUUGAUGCUUCAAACAUUUUCUCGAUGGUAUUGUCUUUUAGGCUACGAGUCGAUAUUCCUACCAACAUCACUAUUGUUGUCAUUAUUGUAAGAUCCAGAAGAAGUUAUAGUUUGCCAUCCGCUUACAUCACGUUCAAAGUUAUGGUGAAUGCAGUAAACAUGCCGUCGUUGUUGGAAGCUCUGGAGCUGAAAUACGGUAGUUCAACGACUGACUGCUCCCUCACGGACGAGGAGACCGAAUCGAGUUCUCCGAAGGCCGCCCUCUCGGUCAGCAUCUUCAUCCCGAAGAAGUCACCCCGUCACACGGUGCCAGCGUUGCUGGUGUUGCAAGACUGCGAUAUCGAAUCAGCCGGCAACGACGCGGAAAAACUUCGCAACAAAUGCAAGAACGUCGAGGAGUUGGAUCUGGCACAGAACAAACUGUCCCAAUGGACGGAAGUGUUCGGCAUCCUGCAGCAUAUGCCCAAGAUCAAAUUCGUCAACUUGAGCUUCAAUUGUUUAGCGGAAGUUUUAGAUAUCAAACACGGUAGUUACGACCUCCUGAAGAACCUUGUGUUAAACGGCACCAGGGUCUCCUGGUCGACGGUUCAGGGACUUAUUCGGUUGCUCCAUAAUCUGGAGGAGCUGCAUCUCUCCCUCAACGAGUACAAGACGGUCGAUCUGGAGUAUCAGAAACCGGAGAAUGGGAACGAUUCGCUGAGGAAACUCCAUUUUACCGGAAAUCCUGUCGAGGUAUGGAACGAGAUCUCCAAACUGGGGUACAUCUUCCCGAAUCUGGAGAGCCUGGUGCUCGCAGAGUGCCCCUUAAGGUCAUUGGCCCUAGUGGAUAAUAGGAAUUCGAACGAGGAGACGUGUCCCAAAAAGGAGACCAAGAAUGUUAGUCAGGACAACGAGAACAUGAACAACGUGGAAGUUGAAGAGAAUACGGUGGACGAAAAAGGGAACAGGAUAUUCACCGAGGUGAAGGUCAACUACGACAGGUCCGAAUCAGAAUCGGAGUCCAGUGGGACGACUAUUAAAUCCUCCCACGAUCCCUUUAGGAAACUCAGGUUUCUAAACGUGAAUGGUACCCUGUUGUCCACCUGGGACGACGUGGAAAGAUUGGCCAGAUUUCCGGCGUUGAAAUCGUUGAGGAUUCAGGGUUGUCCUCUUUUCGAGAGUCCUCGAGAGUACACGGAACACGAAAGGAGGCAAUUGUUGAUUGCCAGGCUUCCAAAUGUGGAGACUUUAAACGGCGGUGGAGUGAUAUCGUCACAAGAGCGCGAGGACGCCGAGAGGGCCUUCAUUCGAUACUACAUGGAUAAACCGGAAGCUGACAGACCCGAAAGGUAUUCCGAGCUUGUAGCUAUUCAUGGAAAGCUGGAUCCUCUGGUACACGUUGACCUGACGCCAGAGAAAAGGGUCAAGGUCACGUUCACUUACGGAGACCUAGUCGAGGUACGAUCUGUAGAUGUGUACAGAACGGUUUUCGAAUUGAAAACUAAACUGGAGACAAUGGUUAAAAUUCCUGCCAAUAGGAUGAGACUCUUCUACGUGGAUCAGGUUAUGAAGGCGCAGUACGGACCGGAAGAAAUGUUGUAUCCGAAUAAACAGCUGUACCGAUACAAUAUUCGAAACGGUGACGAGAUUAUAAUCGACAGCAAAUUAAAUCGUUUCGUCUCAACAUCUUCGACUACGUCUUCCAUUCGUUCCUGAAGAAGAUUUACUAGCGAAUCGUCGGACGACAUGAAACAUACCUGACGGUUGUUGGGAUCUGAUCUCCAUUAACGGAUCUACGGUUCGCAACACGAGUUUGCUUCGAUCGUAGAUCGACCACAUAAUACAUACACCGAAUAAUUGUUCUAGAAAUUGUAUUUAUCGAUUCUUCAGGGUCAAGGAGCGUAACAUGUAUACACUAAGAGCCGGUGGAAGAAACGUUGCGAAUGACGAAUGAGUGUACGAAGAGAGACGAAUUGGGAUAUUUAUGCAGAAUGAACGUGUGUAAAUUGAAAUUUGACCUAGGCAGGUUCGAUGGAGGCAAAUGAAACUUUGAAUACUCGCAGGAUAACGCAUAUAUGCUAUUCGUCAUGUUUUUACGAGAAAUUUCAAUUAAUACGCGUUUGCAAACUUUAGAGACUCUUCGUAGCUUCGCAUUAAUUGUUAGCGUAGUUUUCAGUGAAAUCGAUGGGGAGAGUAAACAAAAAAUUGUAUAAAGUACUUAGUUAAGUAGUACUCGAUUUACAAAUUGUUUUCAAUUAGUGUGCAUUGUCUGUUGCUUCGAAAGAUGCAAGUUAACGUAUGUUGACCACUGUACAGAAGAGAAAAUCUAGUGACUCGAUGGUCCAUUCGAUCGGUUAUGAAACAUUAAAAAUCACGUAGAUCUUACUGUCGCAAAUGCGCCGAUAUUUAGUAAAGGUGACAAUUUUUUUUAAGGACAAAGCGAUACAGUUCGAUCAUACAUACGAAUUUACCGUGUCUAAAGAGAUAUACAUACAUAUUGCAGCAAGACGUACAAUCGAACUUUAUCAACUACGUUUCGCGUAGCGGUGACAACAAUUUUGGCUAAGAAGAGACUCAAUUUCUAAACGUGGCACGACCACGCGAUCGCAGGACAAUGCAACGUGAAAAAAAAAUUGUCGAAUAGAAUGAACUAUUUUUAUAGAUUGCAGCCGUCUGUGUAUAAGAUAACGUGGAAAAAUCGAUAUAGCUUUGUUCCGUUUCCACUAACGACUUUUUUUCGAGAAGAAGUAAACACUUGCUUUAUGCCGUAGCAGCUUAAUUAAUUCGAGAUUACGUACGUUUAAAUAGAUGGUAGAGGAACGAAGAAAUUACUUCUGAAUUAUGGAAAGAAAGUUACACUAGGAUUUCGAUGUGUACUUAACUUUGGAAGUUGUCAGUACACGAUAACAAUGCAUUAAAAAGAUCAUUUAUUUCCCGAAGUCUGACGGCUACUGCUUAUACAUAGCUAAAGCGCAAGAAGAUAUUGCACUCGUACAAAUGACGAUACGAACAUUUGAUAAUUCGACGAUGCAUUUCUAAACUGAAAAAUAAACGUAGAUGACUCGGUAUGCGUUCGCUGAUACAUCAAAUUUAAGUUAUUAACAGUGUAAGAGUUUAAAAAGGAAGACACGAAGAUGUACGUUUCAGUUUAAUCGCUUGCAAGGAUGGAACCUUGAAGAGUCACUUAGUGCCUGCCUUUUAAUAGCGUAACUCGGAUACCUCUAACACUGCCCUGUAAAUACCGUGUAAACGCGUACUUCGAAGCAUCUUCGUCGACUCUUCACUGUUGACCGGUUUGUGAAUGUCAUCUCUGGCGUUGGCAUAUCCGAUUCAGCGCGCUGAAUUGGCAGCUUUUUUAUAUACGUCAAAUCUAUUACACCUUUGCGUGUAUCCGAGAGGUAGAAGAACAACUCGUUGUUAAAAAUUUAAAGAAGAAACCGUCUAAAAAUAUGCGAAACGAGGUAAAUAUACUCCGGUGCGAAGGAUACAACAUGUUCAUCGAAAGAAAGAUAAAGAAAGUUGAUCAUUGACGAGAAGAGUCGAUCGAUGUAUAAUUUCAGAGAUGAAAUCUCGUAUCGCGAACAUUCUUAAACAUUGGAAUUCAGGGUGAUCGAUGGUUUCAAUUGGACCAGUGGUUAAAAACGUAUCAACCCUGAGAUUCUACGAUUCGUAUGUGUCUAGUCUCGGAAAAGGAAUCCUGCAUUGUUCUCGUUUUAUAUGAUAUGAUCCUUUUUUGUGCUGGCGCAAAUGUGUACGUACUAACGAAAUAAAAUCUUUAUAUGAGA